Molecule: unclassified non-coding RNA, 204 nt
Filed under: Hevea brasiliensis (rubber tree)
Lineage: Eukaryota; Viridiplantae; Streptophyta; Magnoliopsida; Malpighiales; Euphorbiaceae
Source: RNAcentral
AGGAUGCACAGAACGAACAACCUGGAAAACUAAAGAAAAAUAAGUAAUAGGAAAUCGUCUAUUUUAUGUACACAAAUAUCAGAGAACGACAGGAAAAUCAUGUUUUAGGAUGUCAGAUCGUCACCUGUCACACAUGUAAAUCUCAAACAUGUAAAACAUGGCUAGUCUAAAGUGAUCUAGUAUGAAAAUUGAUAGGGAAUUUUG